UGCCAGCCGCCGCGGUAAUACGAAGGGGGCAAGCGUUGUUCGGAAUUACUGGGCGUAAAGAGUACGUAGGCGGCUUAACAAGUCAGAUGUGAAAGCCCAAGGCUCAACCUUGGAACUGCAUUUGAUACUGUUUCGCUUGAGUGUUAGAGAGGUAAGCAGAAUUCCCAGUGUAGAGGUGAAAUUCGUAGAUAUUGGGAGGAAUACCGGUUGCGAAGGCGGCUUACUGGCUAACAACUGACGCUGAGGUGCGAAAGCGUGGGGAGCAAACAGGAUUAGAUA
This 279-nucleotide ribosomal RNA is filed under the name uncultured bacterium. RNAcentral's name for it is "partial 16S ribosomal RNA". It matches the Rfam family "Bacterial small subunit ribosomal RNA", at positions 506 to 784 of the family's 1533-position model. The record is from RNAcentral.